RNAcentral lists this ribosomal RNA (497 nucleotides) under uncultured bacterium. RNAcentral describes it as "partial 16S ribosomal RNA". It matches the Rfam family "Bacterial small subunit ribosomal RNA", at positions 28 to 507 of the family's 1533-position model. The record is from RNAcentral.
GAUGAACGCUGGCGGCGUGCCUAACACAUGCAAGUCGAGCGAAAACACGAGGAGCUUGUUCUCUUACCGUUAGCGGCGGACGGGUGAGUAACACGUGCAUAACAAACUUCUUAGUCUGGGAUAAUAACGGGAAACAGCUGACACUAAUAGCUCAUAUAACCUACGGCUGGAAUCAAUAGAGAUUCGCGCCUUUGCUGACUCAAUUAGCCGGUUUCGCGUCGCAUUAGCUAGUUGGUAAGGUACCGGCAUACCAAGGCGACGAUGCGUAGCUGAGCUGAGAGGAUGAUCAGCCACACUGGAACUGAGACACGGUCCAGACUCCUACGGGAGGCAGCAGUGGGGAAUCUUGGACAAUGGGCGAAAGCCUGGCGCAGCAACACCGCGUGGGUGAAGAAGGUCUUCGGGUCGUAAAGCUCUGUUGUUGGGAAAGAACAGAUGUGGAUGAAUCCAUGGACGUCUUGACGGUACCUAAUCAGUAAGCCACGGCUAACUACGUG